Scatophagus argus is the source of this 1098-nucleotide long non-coding RNA. RefSeq lists it as uncharacterized. The record is from RefSeq and is a predicted model, not a curated record. NCBI's taxonomy places the organism in Eukaryota, Metazoa, Chordata, Actinopteri, Scatophagidae. The transcript has 4 exons.
CCAGGAGAGACAUCUUAUUUGGUUAAACUUACUCAACCUUAUUGUUAGCAUUUAUAUUAUUUUACUUUUCCAAGUCUUAAAGAUCGAAUAGCGGCUCUGAAGAGACUCUGACGACCCCCUUAAUUUCUACCUUUGCGCUAUAAUCAAGCCAGAAGCUCCGUCUUCCGGUCGCCAUCUUUGUUUUGUUUUGGAAACAGUCGCGAAUCGUAAACAGUAAUAAAAGUCUUCUUCGUAUGUGCAGCAGAAACAAUGUUUUUAUUUCAAGCCCGCUAGAAGAGUAUUUUGGGAAUGUCCUCAACAUACUGCGCCUGCAGGAUCGUCAGAGCCGUUCAGGAGCAUCUCCAAAAAGCCUGACGUGUUUCAAACAGUAACCGAAAGAGAAGUGAAAAAGGUGGCGACUCAUCUAAAGGACAUGGCACUUGGACAUGGAUCUGAUGGCCAGACCAGCAAGACAAAACUACCGGUACACUCAGGCGCUCCUCAUCAACUCAUGAGAAGACUGAUUCCAUUUGGGAGCAGUGGAGGCAGGAUUUAUGGUGCUCAAGUUGUCUCAGCAUCGUCGGGUGGAGGAUGGAUAUUUGGUUUUCAGGCCCUCUUUGAAGCUGCGAAACAGAAGUCGGUUGCGUUUGUUCUCUUCAUCUUUCUUGGCGUGGAACUCCCCCUGGAUCUUGAAGCCCCGGUGCACCACAAAGGCUGAGCUCAGCACCGAGAACCUGUAUCCGGCUACGUGGAGUUCGCAGGUCUGGAGGGAGAUGGAUGGACAGGAGGAGAAAGCAGACAUGGAAGUAGAUGAGACGGUAGACAAUGAAUGAUGGACAAAACUGAAGCAGCAGAGGCAGAGAUAUUCUGACUUUUAGUCCUUAGUAUGGGUCAAGCUCCAGAAAUACUGGAUCCAUAUAAUGCAAAAGUGAAAAAACUAUUGGUUGUUAAAAAAAACACAAAAGCAAUUUAAACAUGUCACCUUCUUGUUUUAACAAUUUUCCUUUACUGUUAUUCACCUUUGACAGGCCAAAAGGUUCGCUGAUUAAUCAAGAAAACAUACAGUGCACAAAUCAGUGCUGGAAAUAAAUUUGAGUUGUGACCUGAGACAAUGCAAAA